GACGAACGCUGGCGGCGUGCCUAAUACAUGCAAGUAGAACGCGGUUGCGAACGGGAGAGUAACGCGUAGGUAACUGCCUCAUAGCGGGGGAUAACCAUUGGAAACGAUAGCUAAUACCGCAUACUGUGCGAUGGACCUGCGUUGUAUUAGCUAGUUGGUGCGGUAAAGGCGCACCAAGGCGACGACACAUAGCCGACCUGCGAGGGUGGUCGGCCACACUGGGACUGAGACACGGCCCAGACUCCAACGGGAGGCAGCAGUAGGGAAUCUUCGGCAAUGGACGGAGGUCUGACCGAGCUACGGCGCGUGAGUGAAGAGGGUUUCCGGAUCGUAAAGCUCUGUUGUUAGAGAAGCGGUAUCUAACCAGAAAGCCACGGCUAACUACGUGCCAGCAGCCGCGGUAAUUC
RNAcentral lists this ribosomal RNA (407 nucleotides) under uncultured bacterium. RNAcentral describes it as "partial 16S ribosomal RNA". It matches the Rfam family "Bacterial small subunit ribosomal RNA", at positions 28 to 526 of the family's 1533-position model. The record is from RNAcentral.